RNAcentral lists this ribosomal RNA (483 nucleotides) under Laurepa sp. GDE. RNAcentral describes it as "partial 16S ribosomal RNA". It matches the Rfam family "Archaeal large subunit ribosomal RNA", at positions 1918 to 2651 of the family's 2987-position model. The record is from RNAcentral. Lineage: Eukaryota; Metazoa; Arthropoda; Insecta; Orthoptera; Gryllidae. RNAcentral also lists the same sequence under 1 other name.
CUUCUUGAAGAGAUUGGAAGUCGUGCCUGCUCACUGUUUAUUAAAGAGCCGCGGUAUUUUGACCGUGCAAAGGUAGCAUAAUCAUUAGUUCUUUAAUUGGGAACUGGAAUGAAUGGUUUGACGAAAUAUUAACUGUCUUCAUGAUUAGUAAUUGAAAUUUAUUUUUAAGUCAAAAGGCUUAAAUGUUAAUAAGGGACGAGAAGACCCUAUAGAUCUUUAUAAUUGAUUAUAUAAUGAUUGAUAGAUGUAGAAAGUUAUUAUAUACAAUAUUAUUUGGUUGGGGUGACGUGAUAAUUAUUAAACUUAUUAAUAUUAAACUUUAAUUGAAGAAUUUUUGAUUUUAUAAUAUGAAAAUAAGAAUAAGAUACCUUAGGGAUAACAGCGUUAUCUCAUUGGAGAGUUCUAAUUGAUAAUGGGGAUUGCGACCUCGAUGUUGGAUUAAAAUUAUAUAGUGGUGCAGUAGUUACUAUAAUUGGUCUGUUC